GUAGGUGGCAAGCGUUGUCCGGAUUUACUGGGCGUAAAGGGAGCGCAGGUGGCUCAUCAAGUCUGGGGUGAAAUCUCCCGGCUCAACCGGGAGGGGUCUCUGGAUACUGAUGGGCUUGGGGUAAGCAGAGGAAAGCGGAAUUCCCGGUGUAGCGGUGAUAUGCGUAGAUAUCGGGAGGAACACCAGUGGCGAAGGCGGCUUUCUGGGCUUUUCCUGACGCUGAGGCUCGAAAGCGUGGGGAGCGAACCGGAUUAGAUACCCGGGUAGUCCACGCCGUAAACGUUGGACACUAGGUGUGGGGGUAUUGACCCCCCCUCCCGUGCCGCAGCUAACGCAUUAAGUGUCCCGCCUGGGGAGUACGGCCGCAAGGCUA
RNAcentral lists this ribosomal RNA (373 nucleotides) under uncultured organism. RNAcentral describes it as "partial 16S ribosomal RNA". It matches the Rfam family "Bacterial small subunit ribosomal RNA", at positions 527 to 896 of the family's 1533-position model. The record is from RNAcentral.